GAGGACGGCGUCUGCGCGCAAGGCGGGGCUGCACCUCUGCUUCCUCGGGCCUUCUGGGUAAUGGAGUUUCCGGGGGGACAGCGCGCGGCCCGGGUCUCGGUCGCAGAGCCCACCGAGCUCCGCACCCCCGCCGCUCAGCUGAUCUCUGGGUCCUGGGCGAACAACAGCCUGAGUGGCCGGCCAAGCAGGUGCCGCCGGCGGGGCCGGAGGUCCUGAGGAUGUUUACGGUGUUCCGGAAGCCCAAGACGUUCAAGCUGCGGGCUCUGCACAGGACGAAGAAGUUUGGGGUGGCGGGGAGGAGCUACCAGGAGGUGCUGCGGAAGGGGUGCUUCCACUUCCAGCUCCCCAUCACCGGCUCCCGCCUGUGUCUCUACGAAGACGGCACCGAGCUCACCGGAGACUACUUCUCGAGUGUCCCUGACAACUCGGAACUCGUGCUUCUCACCUCAGGCCAGACCUGGCAAGGCUAUGUGAGUGACAUCCAUCACUUCCUCCACGCGUUCCACAAGCCGCAGGCGGGGCUCAUCCAGGCUGCCCGGCAGCUGCUCUCCGGGGAGCAGGCCCCGCUGCGGCAGAAGCUGCUGGCCGACCUCCUGCACACCGUCAGCGAGAACACCGAGGCCGAGACCAGGGCCGAGGACCCGCCAUGGUUCGAAGGUCUGGAGUCUCGAUUCAAGAAUAAGUCUGGCUACCUGAGGUACAGCUGCGAGAGCCGUAUCCGGAGCUACCUGAGAGAGGUGAGCGCUUCUGCCUCCACGGUGGGCGCGGAGGCUCAGGAGGAGUACGUCCGGAUUGUUGGCCUCAUGUGCCGGAAGCUCAGGGCGGAGCAGUACCACAGCAGCUACUUCGACAGAGGAGCCGAGGCGGACAGCCGGCUCUGCACACCCGAAGGCUGGUUCUCCUGCCAGGGUCCCUUUGACGUGGACAGCUGUGCAUCCAAACACUCCAUCAACCCCUACGGUAACAGGGAGAGCCGGAUCCUCUUUAGUACGUGGAACCUGGACCACAUGCGCUUCCGGCCGUCCACCUUCCGCUACUACAGAGCCCCCUGGGCUGAGCGCGCACGCGGGACCGACCUGCGUGGCCAUGUGGGUGUGGCCCGUGGACUGGCAGCGUCCUCAGCAUGUGGGGACUGGUCGGGAAUGCAGAUUCUCGGGCUCCGCGCACCGUUACCCGGGUGCUGGGGAUUGGGGUGCACGUUCAGGUCAUCUGUCGGCUACUUUCCGUGCCCCGCUGGGGCGUGGGGACAUCGAUCUGGGGGCGGUCCCAGCACUCAAGGGGCGGAGCAGGCCAGCCUGGAGCAGAGUGCAGACGAAGCAGCAGAGGCCGGAGCAGGGUUGCCUGACACCGUGGUUUCAGGCUCGUUUCUCCCAGGAGGGUCCUGUGGGCACUAAAUGUUCUUUGGUCUUGGAAAAUGUCCCUCUGGCCUCUACUCCUGCGUGGUCAUUUAGCGAUACUGAAUUCUGAGCGGUGGGUGUCCCACCUUCAGAACUUUGAAGACGUGCUCACACUCUCCCGGCGUCUGCUCGGGAGAAUUCUGCCCACAGCCUGUUCUCUGCCGUUUCUGCGGACAUUGCAGAUUUUCCCUUUCUCUUUGAACAUGGCGUGUGUGUGGGUUUAGAUCCUUAAAUUCUGACCGGGGCUUGUCUUUGUUCCAAAGACAAGUUUCUCUUUCGUUUUGGAAAACACCUAAGUAUUUUUUAGUUACCCCCUCUCGGCUUCUUUCUGUCCGGCUUCUCUGGAGCUCCCGCUGGCCGCACGUUGGACCUUCUCGUCCUGUCUCCCUUGUGCUGUGGGGGUGGUGUCGAGGAGCCCUCCGAGGCCUCUCAGCGGUCUGUUUCAGAGUGCUCUAGCCCAGGUCCUCCGCUGGGGUCCUCGCCCUUUGCGGUGUGCUCGUGACAUCUGUGCGUCUGGAUUCAGAGUCCACCCUCGGUGGGGACUGUGUUUUCUGUGCACUGGCUUGUCCUGUCCCCACAGGGUGGUUUUGCAUUUGUUUCUGCCGGACACUCACGGAAAGCCAGGGCUUCCCGUGGCUCUGAAACAGCGGAGUAUUAAUUUCUGGCUUGGGUCCCGUCCCCUGUGGCAGGUGCAGUCGGACUGUGGGUCUGUGUGAACGGUGAGCCGAGGGUCCUGGGUUUACUGGUGACUGUGGAAAUGGUCACGCUGUUGGUGCGCCCGAAUCAUGCCUCCUGGGGGUGUGUUGUCCUCACCCCUCCCGCUGCUGACCGAGGCUCGGCCAUGUGGCUCCAGCACACAGGACGCCAGCGGACGCCUGAUACGUGCUUGUGCGCUGGGGCUCCUUCUCUUUGAGCGCUGGCGUCAGUGGGGAGGGCCCUGGCCUGGCCUCCUUGAGGGUGAAAGGCGCCACGGGGAGCAAGGCCGCCCCCAGCCAGCCCUCCAGCGUCGCGCAGCCACAGGAGCGGUCGGGGUCAGCGGGCGCCCCCCUCUUCUGGGGCUGGGCAGGCAGCAGUAGGUAGAGGGUAGGGUGGCUUCCCCUCCCUCCCGGAGCCCCGGGCGCCCCUGCCGCUUCCCUUCCACUUUAAUGGCUGGACUGGGGUCUCGGUCCCACCUCCCUGGCCCUCCCCUUGGGCCUCUGUCGGGACCAGAGCCCCAGUGGGCUGCAGGAGGGUGGCUCGCCCCUGCGGAUCAAGUGGGGACUUGAGUUCCUGGCAGUGGGGAGCCCUCACCUGCUCAGCUUUGUACCUGUUUUCCCUUUUCUUCAGUGUUUCUCCGUGUUGGAGGGACAGGUGGGCCCAGCAUGCUGCAGUGGCCCUCCUGGCCUUGUUUCUAUUCCUCGUGUUACAAGCUCAGUUCGCAAGCUUUACCUGUCAGUACGCGGGCUUUGAAAGAAUAGAAAAGAGGCGCACUGUC
Molecule: RNA transcript, 2871 nt
Organism: Prionailurus viverrinus (fishing cat)
Lineage: Eukaryota; Metazoa; Chordata; Mammalia; Carnivora; Felidae
Gene: DFFB
Gene name: DNA fragmentation factor subunit beta
Exons: 10
Source: RefSeq, a predicted model, not a curated record